GCAGUACAUGGGUUCACAAAAGAAUUGGAUACAACUUAGUGACUAAACAACAAAAACAAAAUAUUCUUGUACAAGAAAUUCUCAGAGUGGUGACCUGCUAUUCUAGGUCAGGUCCCAGAAGCAGAGCCUGACACCUGGAUUCUGGUGGAGAUAAUUUACUUCAGGUGCUCUCAGGUGAAACCUAUAAGGGACAGAGGCAGCAGAGUAAGAAUGAGGUCUUAGGUCAAGUCUUGGAUUAUCCUUGAGACAAGGGGGCUGCCUUCUGUACCCCGUAUCAGUCAUCAGUUGGGCUGACCCCUCGGAGUGUGGGGGUAUAACUUCUUGGAUGAGAUGGCACCAAUCAGCUGAGGACAAGUCUCUUGAGAGGAAGCAGCUGUGAGCCAUCAACCCCCGAUACCAACAGCAGAUGUGGAAAGACUUCCUUGACCUGACCGCCAGGUUCCUGUGUCGGUGAGAUCCUCCAGGCAAGAAUACUUCUCCAGGGGAUCUUCCUAACCCAGGGAUCGAAUCUGGGUCUUUGUGAUAUGAAGGUCUUUGUUCCAUCCUAUAGGGGAGCAGUGGCAGUCAACACCAAUGUGUGGCAUGGGAUGAAUCUCUAACAGAAACCUCUGUGACUCUGCUUUGAGAAGUCUCUGCAAAGUUUGAAAUAUGCCAAAGAAAAAUGCCAGUGCUCCGCACUAUAAGAAUUACCAACUUUUAAUGAGUCCACUGAAGCAGAUAAUCAAUGAGGCUUCUAAAAGGCAGUUUUCUCCUCCAGGUCUUAGCAUCAUUACAAGCUCCUGAAGGAUGGAAGUUGUUCUGAAAGACUUAAAAAGGAUGAUAUGUACACAUACUCCUUUUAAAAAGCUGUUUUUCUA
Molecule: long non-coding RNA, 857 nt
Organism: Bos taurus (domestic cattle)
Lineage: Eukaryota; Metazoa; Chordata; Mammalia; Artiodactyla; Bovidae
Source: Ensembl